RNAcentral lists this ribosomal RNA (366 nucleotides) under Vibrio parahaemolyticus. RNAcentral's name for it is "bacterial SSU rRNA". It matches the Rfam family "Bacterial small subunit ribosomal RNA", at positions 468 to 913 of the family's 1533-position model. Lineage: Bacteria; Pseudomonadati; Pseudomonadota; Gammaproteobacteria; Vibrionales; Vibrionaceae. The record is from RNAcentral.
UUUGACGUUAGCGACAGAAGAAGCACCGGCUAACUCCGUGCCAGCAGCCGCGGUAAUACGGAGGGUGCGAGCGUUAAUCGGAAUUACUGGGCGUAAAGCGCAUGCAGGUGGUUUGUUAAGUCAGAUGUGAAAGCCCGGGGCUCAACCUCGGAAUUGCAUUUGAAACGGCGAAGGCGGCCCCCUGGACAGAUACUGACACUCAGAUGCGAAAGCGUGGGGAGCAAACAGGAUUAGAUACCCUGGUAGUCCACGCCGUAAACGAUGUCUACUUGGAGGUUGUGGCCUUGAGCCGUGGCUUUCGGAGCUAACGCGUUAAGUAGACCGCCUGGGGAGUACGGUCGCAAGAUUAAAACUCAAAUGAAUUGA